RNAcentral lists this transfer RNA (71 nucleotides) under Myxococcales bacterium. RNAcentral's name for it is "tRNA-Val". It matches the Rfam family "tRNA". From Rfam's summary of the family: Transfer RNA (tRNA) molecules are approximately 80 nucleotides in length. Their secondary structure includes four short double-helical elements and three loops (D, anti-codon, and T loops). Lineage: Bacteria; Pseudomonadati; Myxococcota; Myxococcia; Myxococcales. The record is from RNAcentral.
GGGGUCGUAGCUCAGGAGCAGAGUGCCGGUCCGACAUGCCGGCGACGAAGGUGCGAUUCCUUCCGACCUCA